AUGCCAAAUAAUAAAUACAGUUAUUCAGCCAGCAAACAGCUGCGUGAUUAUAAAUAGGAAAAUUUACCUCAGUCCAGAGCCAGCUGAGACCCAACAACAUACAUUUAUUAAGCAGCGAUGUUUUUGGGGGCAUUUUUUUGCAGGGAUGUUGAGAAUAUUUUGCCCACUCUUUAUUUUAGGAAGGUGAAACGUCCCUGGUGGAUUUCAAAGGCUAACCUCUUGGGUAUGCGUUCUCUGUGCCAAGACACUGAGUCACGAAUAGAUGGGAGGAAGCUGUGUCAAACCCAGACGGGGACAAAGCGGCUGUAAUUUGGGAGCCAGCUCAGCUCCGUCUGCUAACAACCGCACAGCCCCGUCCGUGCCCUCAGCCCUGAACGCUGAGAGCUUUGCUCGCUGCCACUUUCGCAUGCUGUUUGGUGAUUGCUUGGGGAUUUCCGCACAAGGUGCAGGAACUCUGUCCCCAGGAGGAACGGGAUCAGGAGAAACAGCAGAGCUGUCCCCAGCGCCUCCAGCUUCGCCCGUGGUCCCUUUGGGAAGCGGGGCCGUGUCCCCAGCCCUCGUCCCACAGCCGUGCUGCCAGGCCGGAUCCGCAGAGCCAGGUAGCUCCAGCUCUUGGUCUGCAGCUCGUGCAGAAGUGACCUGGGCGGUGGGACACGGCUUGGAUCUGCACCCUCCUGACAGCGUGGGCUCCUGCAGCAGUGACAGUCCCCAUCCUCCCUGCCCUUCCGAGGGGACAGCGCAGCGAGAGCCGCCUGCUAUCUGCCUGUGACAAUAGUACAGGGGGACUGCAGAGAGAUUCCUGCCUUAUCUUGCUUGAGGGUUACUGCAGCAAAGGGAUUUAUUUUGGCCUUUCUGCCAAAAAAUGUACACAGAGAUUCCACUGAAGCACAUAUAUAUGUUUCUCUUGGAAGCAGACAAACCUCUCGCAUCCAAAAAGCCCUGCACUGUUAUUAAUCUCUGGGG
This is a long non-coding RNA of Cygnus atratus (black swan), 963 nucleotides long. RefSeq lists it as uncharacterized. The transcript is spliced from 3 exons. Lineage: Eukaryota; Metazoa; Chordata; Aves; Anseriformes; Anatidae. The record is from RefSeq and is a predicted model, not a curated record.